Molecule: ribosomal RNA, 1546 nt
Filed under: Vibrio antiquarius
Lineage: Bacteria; Pseudomonadati; Pseudomonadota; Gammaproteobacteria; Vibrionales; Vibrionaceae
Description: bacterial SSU rRNA
Rfam family: Bacterial small subunit ribosomal RNA
Source: RNAcentral
AGAGUUUGAUCAUGGCUCAGAUUGAACGCUGGCGGCAGGCCUAACACAUGCAAGUCGAGCGGAAACGAGUUAUCUGAACCUUCGGGGAACGAUAACGGCGUCGAGCGGCGGACGGGUGAGUAAUGCCUAGGAAAUUGCCCUGAUGUGGGGGAUAACCAUUGGAAACGAUGGCUAAUACCGCAUGAUGCCUACGGGCCAAAGAGGGGGACCUUCGGGCCUCUCGCGUCAGGAUAUGCCUAGGUGGGAUUAGCUAGUUGGUGAGGUAAGGGCUCACCAAGGCGACGAUCCCUAGCUGGUCUGAGAGGAUGAUCAGCCACACUGGAACUGAGACACGGUCCAGACUCCUACGGGAGGCAGCAGUGGGGAAUAUUGCACAAUGGGCGCAAGCCUGAUGCAGCCAUGCCGCGUGUGUGAAGAAGGCCUUCGGGUUGUAAAGCACUUUCAGUCGUGAGGAAGGUAGUGUAGUUAAUAGCUGCAUUAUUUGACGUUAGCGACAGAAGAAGCACCGGCUAACUCCGUGCCAGCAGCCGCGGUAAUACGGAGGGUGCGAGCGUUAAUCGGAAUUACUGGGCGUAAAGCGCAUGCAGGUGGUUUGUUAAGUCAGAUGUGAAAGCCCGGGGCUCAACCUCGGAAUAGCAUUUGAAACUGGCAGACUAGAGUACUGUAGAGGGGGGUAGAAUUUCAGGUGUAGCGGUGAAAUGCGUAGAGAUCUGAAGGAAUACCGGUGGCGAAGGCGGCCCCCUGGACAGAUACUGACACUCAGAUGCGAAAGCGUGGGGAGCAAACAGGAUUAGAUACCCUGGUAGUCCACGCCGUAAACGAUGUCUACUUGGAGGUUGUGGCCUUGAGCCGUGGCUUUCGGAGCUAACGCGUUAAGUAGACCGCCUGGGGAGUACGGUCGCAAGAUUAAAACUCAAAUGAAUUGACGGGGGCCCGCACAAGCGGUGGAGCAUGUGGUUUAAUUCGAUGCAACGCGAAGAACCUUACCUACUCUUGACAUCCAGAGAACUUUCCAGAGAUGGAUUGGUGCCUUCGGGAACUCUGAGACAGGUGCUGCAUGGCUGUCGUCAGCUCGUGUUGUGAAAUGUUGGGUUAAGUCCCGCAACGAGCGCAACCCUUAUCCUUGUUUGCCAGCGAGUAAUGUCGGGAACUCCAGGGAGACUGCCGGUGAUAAACCGGAGGAAGGUGGGGACGACGUCAAGUCAUCAUGGCCCUUACGAGUAGGGCUACACACGUGCUACAAUGGCGCAUACAGAGGGCAGCCAACUUGCGAAAGUGAGCGAAUCCCAAAAAGUGCGUCGUAGUCCGGAUUGGAGUCUGCAACUCGACUCCAUGAAGUCGGAAUCGCUAGUAAUCGUGGAUCAGAAUGCCACGGUGAAUACGUUCCCGGGCCUUGUACACACCGCCCGUCACACCAUGGGAGUGGGCUGCAAAAGAAGUAGGUAGUUUAACCUUCGGGGGGACGCUUACCACUUUGUGGUUCAUGACUGGGGUGAAGUCGUAACAAGGUAGCGCUAGGGGAACCUGGCGCUGGAUCACCUCCUUA